This is a long non-coding RNA of Mauremys reevesii (Reeves's turtle), 492 nucleotides long. RefSeq lists it as uncharacterized. The record is from RefSeq and is a predicted model, not a curated record. NCBI's taxonomy places the organism in Eukaryota, Metazoa, Chordata, Testudines, Geoemydidae. The transcript is spliced from 3 exons.
CCGAGGAAGCCCCUGAACAAGAGGAACGUGAUUCUGCACUGCUACCCACUUGAGGAAGCCUCUACUGAGGAGGCUGAGGAAGACCCCAAGCCGCUAGGAACCAGAACCUGAGGUUGGCUGAUGCUCCCUGGUUUCCUACUCCAUCUGUUCAAUGGCACCAUGGUGGAGCUUGUGCUGGAGAUACAGACUGAGGAAGCAGAUAGACCUCCUGUUUAUCAUCAUCACAGUUCAUCAGCAUCUACGGAAUUCACUUCAGUAGGUCACUGGUACCAAACAGUACGCCAGCAGGCUUCCCACCACCACCUCCAUACAAGCAGUUCUGACAAUCAACAUGGGAUGGAAAAUAAUCAGCUAAAUGUAUUUGUCAACCAGCAAUGGGCAGCCAUGAUUUUGACAAGUUAAGGAAGCUGGCAAGAUUCCUCUUUUUAGCCUUACAGCCCAGCUGUAACACUGAACCACAGACACGGUCGCAUGGAGACUGAACAAUCAAAG